RNAcentral lists this ribosomal RNA (432 nucleotides) under Triticum aestivum (bread wheat). RNAcentral describes it as "partial small subunit ribosomal RNA". The record is from RNAcentral. Lineage: Eukaryota; Viridiplantae; Streptophyta; Magnoliopsida; Poales; Poaceae.
AUGCUUCCCCUCUCGCUCCUCAAGACCGCCCAGGGGCAUCCCAUGCUCGUGGAGCUCAAGAACGGCGAGACCUACAAUGGGCACUUGGUGAACUGCGACACGUGGAUGAACAUCCACCUCCGGGAGGUUAUUUGCACCUCUAAGGAUGGUGAUAAGUUUUGGAGGAUGCCGGAGUGCUAUAUUCGUGGUAACACGAUCAAGUAUCUUCGGGUUCCUGAUGAGGUGAUUGACAAGGUUCAAGAGGAAACUUCUAAGAGUAGAUCAGAUAGGAAGCCACCAGGUGUUGGUCGUGGAAGAGGAAGAGGAGAUAUAGGCACUAAACCUGGAGGCAGAGGCAUUGGUCGUGGCCAAGAUGAUGGCAAAGGCGGUGGCCGUGGAAGGGGCGGAAUUGGAAGUAAAGGUGGCAACAAAGGCGGACGUGGUCGUGGGUAA